UCCUAGAAUGACAGGCCUUGAUCCUGUAACAAUUUAGUUAACAGCUAAAAACUCUAUCCAGCGAGCUUCAUUCU
This 74-nucleotide transfer RNA is filed under the name Thoropa miliaris (rock river frog). RNAcentral's name for it is "tRNA-Asx". Lineage: Eukaryota; Metazoa; Chordata; Amphibia; Anura; Cycloramphidae. The record is from RNAcentral.